CUUUUUAAUCUAAAAAGCUUUUUGCAGCUCAUCUAAUUUUUCCCUUGAAACAGGCAGCUGGCUUUUUACACUGGGCCUACAGUUGGCGGUCUACUAAAUGCUACUUUUGGAAAUGCAACAGAACUCAUCAUAUCAAUUUUUGCACUGAAAAAUCAAAUGAUACGUGUUGUUCAGCUAUCCUUGCUAGGCUCAAUUCUGUCGAACAUGUUGCUGGUGCUUGGUUGUGCAUUCUUCUGUGGUGGGCUUGUUUUCAACAAAAAGGAACAGACUUUUAACAAGGCAGCUGCUGGUGUCAACUCAGGAUUGUUGUUAAUGGCUGUCAUGGGCCUUCUUUUUCCUGUUCUUCUCAACUACACCCACAGCGAAGCCCAUUUUGGGAAGUCGGAAUUGGCACUUUCUAGAUUCAGCAGUUGCAUUAUGCUUCUGGCUUAUGCUGCUUAUCUUUUCUUUCAGUUAAAAAGUCAGAGGAAUAAUUAUUCUUCCGUUUAUGAGG
Long non-coding RNA from Cucurbita moschata (crookneck pumpkin), 493 nucleotides. RefSeq lists it as uncharacterized. The record is from RefSeq and is a predicted model, not a curated record. NCBI's taxonomy places the organism in Eukaryota, Viridiplantae, Streptophyta, Magnoliopsida, Cucurbitales, Cucurbitaceae. The transcript is spliced from 3 exons.